This 429-nucleotide ribosomal RNA is filed under the name Gemmatimonadota bacterium. Its description in RNAcentral is "Gemmatimonadetes bacterium partial 16S ribosomal RNA". It matches the Rfam family "Bacterial small subunit ribosomal RNA", at positions 355 to 776 of the family's 1533-position model. Lineage: Bacteria; Pseudomonadati; Gemmatimonadota. The record is from RNAcentral.
UAGGGAAUCUUCGGCAAUGGACGUAAGUCUGUCCGAGCAACGCCGCGCGAGUGAAGAAGGUUUUCGGAUCGUAAAACUCUGUUGUUAGAGAAGAACAAGGACGUUAGUAACUGAACGUCCCCUGACGGUAUCUAACCAGAAAGCCACGGCUAACUACGUGCCAGCAGCCGCGGUAAUACGUAGGUGGCAAGCGUUGUCCGGAUUUAUUGGGCGUAAAGCGAGCGCAGGCGGUUUCUUAAGUCUGAUGUGAAAGCCCCCGGCUCAACCGGGGAGGGUCAUUGGAAACUGGGAGACUUGAGUGCAGAAGAGGAGAGUGGAAUUCCAUGUGUAGCGGUGAAAUGCGUAGAUAUAUGGGGGAACACCAGUGGCGAAGGCGGCUCUCUGGUCUGUAACUGACGCUGAGGCUCGAAAGCGUGGGGAGCAAACAGG